This 313-nucleotide ribosomal RNA is filed under the name uncultured eukaryote. Its description in RNAcentral is "SSU rRNA". It matches the Rfam family "Eukaryotic small subunit ribosomal RNA", at positions 39 to 352 of the family's 1831-position model. The record is from RNAcentral.
AAAGAUUAAGCCAUGCAUGUCUAAGUAUAAGCUUUUAUACGGUGAAACUGCGAAUGGCUCAUUAAAACAGUUAUAGUUUAUUUGAUGGUCACUUACUACUUGGAUAACCGUGGUAAUUCUAGAGCUAAUACAUGCGUCAAGACCCGACUUUUUGGAAGGGUUGUAUUUAUUAGAUAAAGAACCAAUCCAUGCUCGCAUGGUUUUGUGGUGAUUCAUAAUAACUGAUCGAAUCGCAUGCCUUCGGGCGGCGAUGUAUCAUUCAAGUUUCUGACCUAUCAGCUUCCGACGGUAGGGUAUUGGCCUACCGUGGCAA